AACUCCCACAAACCAUCGCGAAUCUUACCCGUACGGUUGCCUCGGCGCUGGCGGUCCGGAAAGGCCCUCGGGCCCUCCCGGAUCCUCGGGUCUCCCGCUCGCGGGAGGCUGCCCGCCGGAGUGCCGAAACUAAACUCUUGAUAUUUUAUGUCUCUCUGAGUAAACUUUUAAAUAAGUCAAAACUUUCAACAACGGAUCUCUUGGUUCUGGCAUCGAUGAAGAACGCAGCGAAAUGCGAUAAGUAAUGUGAAUUGCAGAAUUCAGUGAAUCAUCGAAUCUUUGAACGCACAUUGCGCUCGCCAGUAUUCUGGCGAGCAUGCCUGUUCGAGCGUCAUUUCAACCAUCAAGCUCUGCUUGCGUUGGGGAUCCGCGGCUGUCCGCGGUCCCUCAAAAUCAGUGGCGGGCUCGCUAGUCACACCGAGCGUAGUAACUCUACAUCGCUAUGGUCGUGCGGCGGGUUCUUGCCGUAAAACCCCCCAUUUCUAAGGUUGACCUCGGAUCAGGUAGGAAUACCCGCUGAACUUAAGCAUAUCAAUAAGCGGAGGAAAAGAAACCAACAGGGAUUGCCCUAGUAACGGCGAGUGAAGCGGCAACAGCUCAAAUUUGAAAUCUGGCUUCGGCCCGAGUUGUAAUUUGUAGAGGAAGCUUUUGGUGAGGCACCUUCUGAGUCCCCUGGAACGGGGCGCCAUAGAGGGUGAGAGCCCCGUAUAGUCGGAUGCCGAUCCAAUGUAAAGCUCCUUCGACGAGUCGAGUAGUUUGGGAAUGCUGCUCAAAAUGGGAGGUAAAUUUCUUCUAAAGCUAAAUACCGGGCCAGAGACCGAUAGCGCACAAGUAGAGUGAUCGAAAGAUGAAAAGCACUUUGAAAAGAGGGUUAAAUAGCACGUG
This 885-nucleotide ribosomal RNA is filed under the name fungal endophyte. Its description in RNAcentral is "eukaryotic LSU rRNA". The stretch from base 490 to 885 matches the Rfam family "Eukaryotic large subunit ribosomal RNA", at positions 1 to 401 of the family's 3401-position model. The record is from RNAcentral. Lineage: Eukaryota; Fungi.